AAUAGCGUAUAUUAAAGUUGUUGCAGUUAAAAAGCUCGUAGUUGAAUUUUUGCUUGCCGCCGAUGUCGGAACUUCCGUACGUUCGGCGGCGUGCAUCCUUGGGUGGAACCUGUGUGGCAUUAGGUUGUCGUGCAGGGGAUGCUCAUCGUUUACUGUGAAAAAAUUAGAGUGUUCAAAGCAGGCUUUCGCUUGAAUACAUUAGCAUGGAAUAAUAAGAUAGGACUUUGGUGCUAUUUUGUUGGUUGAGCCUAAAGUAAUGAUUAAUAGGGAUAGUUGGGGGCACCUGUAUUGCGUUGUCAGAGGUGAAAUUCUUGGAUUUACGCAAGACAAACAGCUGCGGAAGCGUCUGCCAAGGAUGUUUUCAUUAA
This 368-nucleotide ribosomal RNA is filed under the name uncultured eukaryote. RNAcentral describes it as "partial 18S ribosomal RNA". It matches the Rfam family "Eukaryotic small subunit ribosomal RNA", at positions 593 to 976 of the family's 1831-position model. The record is from RNAcentral.